Molecule: ribosomal RNA, 1249 nt
Filed under: Metabacillus lacus
Lineage: Bacteria; Bacillati; Bacillota; Bacilli; Caryophanales; Bacillaceae
Description: bacterial SSU rRNA
Rfam family: Bacterial small subunit ribosomal RNA
Source: RNAcentral
CCUAGAGACUGGGAUAACUCCGGGAAACCGGGGCUAAUACCGGAUAACAGAACGAACCGCAUGGUGACUGUCGUUUUUGAAAGACGGCUCACGCUGUCACUUACAGAUGGACCCGCGGCGCAUUAGCUAGUUGGUGGGGUAAUGGCCCACCAAGGCGACGAUGCGUAGCCGACCUGAGAGGGUGAUCGGCCACACUGGGACUGAGACACGGCCCAGACUCCUACGGGAGGCAGCAGUAGGGAAUCUUCCGCAAUGGACGAAAGUCUGACGGAGCAACGCCGCGUGAGUGAAGAAGGUUUUCGGAUCGUAUUCAUCUGUUGUCAGGGAAGAACAAGUACGAGAGUAACUGCUCGUACCUUGACGGUACCUGGCCAGAAAGCCACGGCUAACUACGUGCCAGCAGCCGCGGUAAUACGUAGGUGGCAAGCGUUGUCCGGAAUUAUUGGGCGUAAAGCGCGCGCAGGCGGUUCCUUAAGUCUGAUGUGAAAGCCCACGGCUCAACCGUGGAGGGUCAUUGGAAAGGUAGGAACUUGAGUGCAGAAGAGGAGAGUGGAAUUCCACGUGUAGCGGUGAAAUGCGUAGAGAUGUGGAGGAACACCAGUGGCGAAGGCGACUCUCUGGUCUGUAACUGACGCUGAGGCGCGAAAGCGUGGGGAGCGAACAGGAUUAGAUACCCUGGUAGUCCACGCCGUAAACGAUGAGUGCUAAGUGUUAGAGGGUUUCCGCCCUUUAGUGUAGCAGCUAACGCAUUAAGCACUCCGCCUGGGGAGUACGGUCGCAAGACUGAAACUCAAAGGAAUUGACGGGGGCCCGCACAAGCGGUGGAGCAUGUGGUUUAAUUCGAAGCAACGCGAAGAACCUUACCAGGUCUUGACAUCCUCUGACACUUCUAGAGAUAGAAGGUUCCCCUUCGGGGGACAGAGUGACAGGUGGUGCAUGGUUGUCGUCAGCUCGUGUCGUGAGAUGUUGGGUUAAGUCCCGCAACGAGCUAGCACCCUUGAUCUUAGUUGCCAGCAUUAAGUUGGCACUCUAAGGUGACUGCCGGUGACAACCGGAGGAAGGUGGGGAUGACGGGAAAUCAUCAUGCCCCUUAUGACCUGGGCUACACACGUGCUACAAUGGAUGGUACAAAGGGCUGCAAGACCGCGAGGUCAAGCCAAUCCCAUAAAACCAUUCUCAGUUCGGAUUGCAGGCUGCAACUCGCCUGCAUGGAUCGCCGGAAUCGCUAGUAAUCGCGGAUCUUACUGAU